Molecule: unclassified non-coding RNA, 21 nt
Filed under: Chlamydomonas reinhardtii
Lineage: Eukaryota; Viridiplantae; Chlorophyta; Chlorophyceae; Chlamydomonadales; Chlamydomonadaceae
Description: small RNA Cre_1276
Source: RNAcentral
CGCUCUCGCGUCACCCGCGCC